This 38867-nucleotide long non-coding RNA is filed under the name Gossypium barbadense (sea-island cotton). RNAcentral's name for it is "long non-coding RNA (GBAR_LNC009742)". Lineage: Eukaryota; Viridiplantae; Streptophyta; Magnoliopsida; Malvales; Malvaceae. The record is from RNAcentral.
UCGAUUGGGGAGCCAGACAGACGCUCCUCGAAUCUUCCAGAAGCAGUUGCGGCACAAGGGAGCAGAGCUAAGGUUGGAAACCCUAGCUGGAAAUUUUGGGUUUUGGGCCUAGUUCAUUUUGGGCCGUUGUAUUGGGUCAAAGGGGUAAUGGGCAUAGGAUAGGCUUACGGGGUAUUUGGGCUACCGGGUGUAACAGGUCUAUUUGGAUUUUAACUUUUGGGCUGUAAAGGGACUGUUUAAUAAACAUUUAUUUAUUAUUAUUUAAUUUUGGUUUUUGGUUUCAAGGCCCGGUCAAAUUUAGGGUUACUACAGCUGCCCCUCUUUUCUUAUUGCUGUGUAAUAGGAAUCAAGCAAAGAGUCAUAGAAAGACCCAAUUUGACCGGCCUUAUCAAAUAAUGGAAUUCAAUUUUAUGACUGUUAUGUUGAGAUCUUUGAUCUGCUCCCCGCCGAUCGUAGAGAUGUCGAAUCUGUUUCUUCGAUUUGUGGGGAUGCCAAAUCAACUUGAGUCUGUUUUGAGAACAUCUGAGAGUCAAAUCUGCUACGUCCUUGAUUUGUUCUUUCUAAGCACAAAGAUGCCAACUGUACAAGCCCAAUUUUGGGCCCAAUACCCAAAACCCACUAAACCCAAACCAACUUAAACCUACCCAAAACCCAAAUAACCUAGCCCAAUACAUUAAAGAAAAUAAAUGAAAACCUAAAACCCUAGCCGUCAGCACAUGCCCCCCACCCCAUCCACCACCGACGCCUGCAAGUGGCCUCUGCUCCACCGCUCAUUUUCCUACAAAGAGAGACAAUGUAAUAUAAAAAAAGGAUUUGUAAUGGCUAUUUAAGGCCGAAUCAAAGAACGAUGUAAGGAGGAGGACAUUUUGGUGAAAAAUAAAAAGUAAUUUUUGAUUUUAAACACUAGCAAGAGCAGAGACCACAGCAAUAUCAAGAGCAAAAAAUAGUCUAAACAGAAAAUCAACAUCUAAUAGCCCAAGGUGAUUUCAUUUAGUUAUCAUCAUUAUUUUCUUUCUUUUUAACCUAUUUUACUCAAAAAUACACAUGUAUUAUAAACAUAUAAAAAAUACAAAAAAAGAGGUAAAAAAAAUAUACCUUUUUGAAACUCCGCGGUGGCCGGCCACGGCGGUUGGCGCGGCGGCGCUACGGCGGGCGACGGUCAGGCUGCUGGCCGGAGCCCUCAUCAGGACACGGGCCACCAGCAGAGAGGAGAGCUCUCUUCCUUUUUUUUUAAAACACCAAAGAAAAAUGAAAUUUUUGAAGGAUUUUAGGAUUUUAUAGCCUUCCGAAACGGCACCGUUUUGGUGCCCAGGCCCAGACCCAAAACAACGCCGUUUAGGCGCAACCCGAAUCGGACCCGACCCGCUAACCAGGGAUCCGCAUGUUUUCUCCGUUUUUGGGGUAUUUAUGCCCCUAAUCCCUCUGCCUUUUCCAUCUCCUUCAAUUGGAUCCCUUUCCUCUGCUUUUGUUUUUUUAUUUUAGCCCAUUAAUUCGGCUUUUGAUUCACUUUGGUCUGCAUUGAAACAAUGCGUUCUGAGGACUUGGAAUAAUUUCCUGAUCAGCCCCUCCAUUUAUUUCGCGUGUUCAAGUUAAUCCCCUUUUCCGUUGUUUAUUUUAAAUUCGCCUCAAAGUUCCAUUUUUAAUUCAAAUUUCAUCCUUUUUUUCCCUCAUUAUUCUAAUUUUAUUUUAAUAUUAUUUAUAAUAUCAUAUUUUAUUAUUGUUGUAUUUUUAUUAAUAGUUCAUUAUUAUCAUUUUAUUUAAUACUUAUAUAUAUAUGUUAUAAAGUAUUAUUAAUAAUUUCAAUAUUAUUAUUCUUAUUAACGCAUAUGUAUGUUAAUAUUAUAUUAUAUUUUUAUACACGUAUACAUAUUAACAUUAUACCAUGUAUAUAUUUUUUUAUAAAUAUCAUAUAUCUAUAUAUAUUUCUUAAAUAUAUCAUAUAUACUGUGUACAUACUUCUAAUACUAUCAUGCAUUCAUUUCAAUAUAUAUGUAUAUACCUAUGUAAUAUUAUUAAUAUUUAUUUUUAAACAUUAUUAUUAUUAUUAUUAGCAUAUAUAUAUACUAUGAAAGUAUUUCAAAUAUCGCAUUUUUAUUAUGUAUAUAUUUUAAAUACGGAUACAUUUCUUAUUAUGUGUAUAUAUCUCUUAAUAUUGUAUUUUAUGCAUAUACCUUAAUACUACGUCACUUCUAUAUUUUUAUUUCUCAUACUAUCUUAUAUUUAUAUUUCCAGUAUUAUACCAUAUCUAUUUAUUAGCAUAUCAUUAUCACUAUUAUCAUUAUAUAUUAGUGUACAUUUUUAUAUGUGUAUACAUACACAUUUAUAUAUAUAGUUUUUUAUAUAUAUAUACUAUUACUUUAAUUUAAUAUUUUUAUUAUACUUGCUUUUUUUGUAUUUCUAUAUUUUCAUUAUUAUCAUAUAGUAGCAUAUAUUUUCAUGUAUAUGUAUAUAAACGUUAUAUAGAAUUACUAAUAGCUUAACAUUAUUGUUUUUAGGUAUUUAUAUGUCACAUAUGUUUUCGUUAAAUAUAUAUACAUUAAUCCCCUACUACUUCAUACUCACGUUUACUAUCAUGUUUCAAUACAUGCGCUAUUAUCGUUUCGUACUAUUGUUAUUAUUAUUAUCGUUUUCGUUUUCGUUAUCGUUGUCAUUUUUAUUCUUUGCCAUGUUUAUCAUUUGUCUAUAUUUGCAUACUGUUAACCUUGAUAUUACUUCAUCUUUUACGGUUGCUCAUAUUAUUGUUUUGACACCGUCACACUUUAUUAUGUUCUUAUACAUGUCAAUGCUAUAUUUUGCCUUUACGUUUUACUAUAAAUCUCGUCACUUUUUGCUCAAUAUAUUAUAACAAUUCUUUCAUAAAAGUAAUAUACGUUAUUAGGUAAUUUGAGAUAAUCGUGCCCUAACUUAUUGGGUUUCGACUUUUCUCAUUAGGCCUAAAUAACAGAAUAUUCUUUUAAAUCACAAUACGAGUCUUUAAAAAUGCUUAUUUUUGGAGAUAUGAAGUGUGGUGCCCUAACUUACCGGGUAUAACAUUUUGACACCUCGAAAUAAGAGCUUUUGCAAAUAAAGGUAAUGUUCGGUUUUCAGAAAUUCGAGGAAACGUGCCCUAACUUACUGGGUUUCGAUUUCCCUCGUUCACUCUAACCAACCGAAUAUCUUUUUAAAAGAAGUUAAAAUACAUUAAUUUUAAAUAAAAGGCAAACUCAAUCUCAAAAUUCAAGAUAUCGUGUCCUAACUUACUGGACGUGGUAUUUUAUUAUUGCGAGACGAGAAGAUCUUUAACGUUUGAACUUUUUACAAAGAGAAAGAUCGUAUUUCAAAGUAUUUUAAGUUUUCAAAUUUUCGACAUUGAGACACUAAUUAAUCAACUAAGUACCAAUUUUGGGCGUAUCGAGGGUGCUAACCCUUCCUCGUGCGUAACCGACUCCCGAACUCAUUUUCUUUUUUUCGUAGACCAAAAAUUAUCGUUUUAGUAAAUCUUAAAUUUUAUUAAAAUGAUUAAUCAAAGGUGAUCCGAUCACACCUCAUCAAAAAAGAUUGGUGGCGACUCCAGUUUUUCGUUUUCAUUUUCAAAAUCCAAGUCGACUACCGUUUUUCAAAAGAAUGGUUACGACACCAACCAUUUUGAGUCUGUUUGAGAACGUUUGAGAGUCAUAUCUGCAAUGUCCUCGAUUUGUUCCUUGUAAGCACAAGAAUAUUAAAUCAUCUUGGUUCUGUUUCAGUACAAUCAUGUGAAGGUUAGAUCUGCUAUAUCUGAGAACAUCUGAGAGUCAAAUCUGCUAUUUCCUCGAUUUGUUCCUUGUAAACACAAGAAUACCAAAUCAUCUUGGAUCUGCUUCAGUAUAAACAUCUGAAGGUUAGAUCUGUUAUAUUUGAGAACGUCUGAGAGUCAAAUCUGCUAUGUCCUCGAUUUGUUCCUUGUAAACACAAGAAUACCAAAUCAUCUUGGAUCUGCUUCAGUAUAAACAUAUGAAGGUUAGAUCUGCUAUAUUUGAGAAUGUCUGAGAGUCAAAUCUGCUAUGUCCUCGAUUUGUUUCUUGUAAACACAAGAAUACCAAAUCAUCUUGGACCUGCUUCAGCAUAAAUGUCUGAAGUCUAGAUCUGCUAUUUUCAAUUUAUUUCCCAUAAGCACAGGGAUGCCAUGUUGAAAUCUUUGAUCUUCAUUGUCCCCUAGAGGACACGACCUGUAAGAUGAGUAUAUGCCUAUGCCUAAGUAUGCUAUGAUUGAAAUGAGUCGAAUGUCCUUAACAUGUUAUGAUGCAAAGUGCUGUGAAUAUGACCCCUAUCUCAGGUGUCAUCAUUCAUUCCUUCAUUUGUCUUUUUCAAAAUUUUAUUCUUACUCAGCUUGUAGGCCUUCCUCCAAUGCUAUGAUCUACUGAGGAUGUUUGUAAGAAUUGAAUCAUCCAUUUCUUUUUGGACUGGAAGAAAGAAAUCCCUCGAGUUCCUUCAUCCCUUACUUACGUGAAUUUCUCGAACAAUUGUCCUGUUUUAGUUUCUUGUAUUAUCUAGAAAUUCCAAAGUAAUGAGCAAAACUUCGUUUGUGAAAAUAUUUUAGUUCAUCUAUCAUUAUUUCAAUGCAACAUACUUUAAAAAUAUCGGAAGAUGAGUAAAUCUUUGAGAAUAAUUGGAUUCGAAUUGUUAACAGUACAAAGGAAAUAAGUAUGAUAGCAUAUCUUUAAGAAGAAAUAAAAUCUAAAGAUAGCAAACAGGAUAAAAAUUAAAUGCUCUAAAUAUCGCCGCUUGAGCGUCUAUACAUUAGUUCCCCGAAGCCUUUCUUGAGUUCGACAUGUGUUUAAAAGAUCCAAAGUACUUUGUUGAUGCCCCAAUGUACACUGUGCCUCACUCUCUGUCAAGUCAAAUAUAGCAAGGUUGCUGUGUGCCCUUCAAAAUUUGAGCUGCCUUUUCGGGUUUUCAACUCAAAAUCCCUUUGGUCACAAGGUGCCCUUUGUGGGUUUUCACCUUGGCCUCUCUAUUUUUUUUCAAAAUUCAAGGCGCCCUUUGCGGGUUUUCACCUUGGAUUCGUUUCUCUUUUAGACAAAGUAAUUUUUGACUGAGUCUGAGUUCACCGGAUUGGGUAGUCUCUUUCCAUCCAUUUCUGUCAAAAUCAAUGCACCACCAGAAAAAGCCUUCUUCACGACGUAUGGCCCCUCCCAAUUUGGCAUCCAUUUUCCUCUAAAGUCCUUCUGAAUGGGAAGGAUUUUCUUUAGCACAAGGUCCCCCUCAUGGAAUUCCCUUGGACGAACCUUUUUAUCAUAAGCUUGCAUCAUACGCUUUUGGUACAUCUGACUAUGUCGGAUAGCCUUCAGCCUUUUAUCCUCAGUCAAGUUUAGCUGGUCAUAUUGAGACUGAACCCAUUCAGCGUCAUCUAACCUUAUCUCUGUUAAAAUAGAAAAGGUAUUUCCACUUCAAUAGGUAAAACUGCUUCCAUCCCGUAAACUAACGAGAACGGAGUUGCCCCAGUAGAAGUUCUAACAGAUGUUCGAUAGGCCAAGAGUGCAAACGGUAGCUUUUCAUGCCAAUCCCUAUAAGUCUCAGUCAUCUUUCCCACUAUUUUCUUAAUGUUCUUAUUGGCAGCCUCCACUGCCCCAUUCAUCUUUGGACGAUAGGGUGAAGAGUUGUGAUGCUUGAUUUUGAACUGGUCGCAAACCUCUGCUAUCGUUUUGUUGUUCAAAUUCAAUGCAUUGUCAGAUAUGAUCCUCUCAGGCAUUCCAUACCAACAAAUGAUUUCCUUCUUCAAAAAUCAACUUACAGCUGACUUAGUAACAUUUGCGUAAGAAGCAGCCUCUACCCAUUUUGUAAAGUAGUCAAUUACUACGAAAAUAAACCGACGUCCGUUCGAAGCUUUCAGCGAUAUUGGUCCGAUGACAUCCAUGCCCCACAUGGAAAAUGGCCAUGGAGACAUCAUGACAUGUAAAGGUGAGGGUGGUACAUGAAUUUUGUCCCCAUAAAUCUGACACUUAUGGCAUUUUUUGGCAUAGUUGAUACAGUCUCCUUCCAUAGUGGCCCAGUAAUAGCCAAACCUCAUGAUUUGUCUUGCCAUCGUGAACCCAUUUGCAUGCAUACCACAUACACCUUCAUGAACCUCUUCUAGAAUUAGCUUGGCUUCCACAGCAUCGACACAUCUCAAAAGUACUUGGUCUUUCCUUCUAUUGUACAGAACAUCCCCGUCUAAAACAUAGUCACAAGCUAACCUUCUCAGGGUUCGUUUGUCAUUUUCGGAUGCAUGUGCUGGAUAUUUACGAUCUCUUACAUAUCGCAAUAUAUCCUGAUACCAAGGAUUGUCAUCCUUUUCUUCCUCUUCAAGGUUACAACAGCUAGCUGGAAAUUCAUAGACACUCAUUUGAAUUGGUCUCAUCUCUUCCUCUUUGCUUGCCUUAAUUAUUGAAGCUAAGGUUGCUAAAGGAUCUGCCAUCUGAUUCUCAUCUCGUGGGAGAUAGUUGAAGGUGAUGUCAUCGAACUCUCUUAGUAACCCUAAAACUACCAUUCGAUAAUUGAUCAAUUUAGGGUCUUUUGUCUCCCAUUCACCUCUUAGCUGAUAGAUUACCAACGCAGAAUCUCCAUAUACUUCUAGGGUUUUUAUGCCUCUUUCUAUGGAUGUUUGGAGCCCCAUGAUGCAUGCUUCGUAUUCAGCCAUAUUAUUUGUACAGUCAAAAUCCAACUUGCACGUGAACGGGUAAUAGUCGCCAUUCGGGGAUACCAAGACUGCCCCAAUUCCAUUUUCGACUGCAUUAGAAGCCCCAUCAAAAUUUAGCUUCCAUAAAGAAUCUUCAGUUGCUGCUAUACACAUUAGCUCUUCAUUUGGAAAAUCAAAAUUCAAUGUCUCGUAAUCCUCCAAAGCUCUACUGGCCAAGAAGUCUGCCACUGCACUUCCUUUGAUAGCCUUCUGACUUACAUAGACUUACAUAGGAAUCAAGCAAAGACUCAUAGAAAGACCCAAUUUGACCGGCCUUAUCAAAUAAUGGAAUUCAAUUUUAUGACAGCUAUGUUGAUAUCUUUGAUCUGCUCUCCGCCGAUCGUAGAGAUGUCGAAUCUGUUUCUUCGAUUUGUGGGGAUGCCAAAUCAACUUGAGUCUGUUUUGAGAACAUCUGAGAGUCAAAUCUGCUAUGUCCUUGAUUUGUUCUUUCUAAGCACAAAGAUGCCAACUGUACAAGCCCAAUUUUGGGCCCAAAACCCACUAAACCCAAACCAACUUAAACCUACCCAAAACCCAAAUAACCUAGCCCAAUACAUUAAAGAAAAUAAAUGAAAACCUAAAACCCUAGCCGUCAGCACAUGCCCCCCACCCCAUCCACCACCGACGCCUGCAAGUGGCCUCUGCUCCACCGUCUAUUUUCCUACAAAGAGAGACAAUGUAAUAUAAAAAAAGGAUUUGUAAUGGCUAUUUAAGGCCGAAUCAAAGAACGAUGUAAGGAGGAGGACAUUUUGGUGAAAAAUAAAAAGCAAUUUUUUAUUUUAAACACUAGCAAGAGCAGAGACCACGGCAAUAUCAAGAGCAAAAAAUAGUCAAAACAGAGAAUCAACAUCUAAUAGCCCAAGGUGAUUUCAUUUAGUUAUCAUCAUUAUUUUCUUUCUUUUUAACCUAUUUUACUCAAAAAUACACAUGUAUUAUAAACAUAUAAAAAAUACAAAAAAAGAGGUAAAAAAAAUAUACCUUUUUGAAACUCCGCGGUGGCCGGCCACGGCGGUCGGCGCGGCGGUGCUACGGCGGGCGACGGUCAGGCUGCUGGCCGGAGCCCUCAUCAGUACACGGGCCACCAGCAGAGAGGAGAGCUCUCUUCCUUUUUUUUAAAACACCAAAGAAAAAUGAAAUUUUUGAAGGAUUUUAGGCUUUUAUAGCCUUCCGAAACGGCACCGUUUUGGUGCCCAGGCCCAGACCCAAAACGACGCCGUUUAGGCGCAACCCGAAUCGGACCCGACCCGCUAACCAGGGAUCCGCAUGUUUUCUCCGUUUUUGGGGUAUUUAUGCCCCUAAUCCCUCUGCCUUUUCCAUCUCCUUCAAUUGGAUCCCUUUCCUCUGCUUUUGUUUUUUUAUUUUAGCCCAUGAAUUCGGCUUUUGAUUCACUUUGGUCCACAUCGAAACAAUGCGUUCUGAGGACUUGGAAUAAUUUCCUGAUCAGCCCCUCCAUUUAUUUCGCGUGUUCAAGUUAAUCCCCUUUUCCGUUGUUUAUUUUCAAUUCGCCUCAAAGUUCCAUUUUUAAUUCAAAUUUCAUCCUUUUUUUCCCUCAUUAUUCUAAUUUUAUUUUAAUAUUAUUUAUAAUAUCAUAUUUUAUUAUUGUUGUAUUUUUAUUAAUAGUUCAUUAUUAUCAUUUUAUUUAAUACUUAUAUAUAUGUUAUAAAGUAUUAUUAAUAAUUUCAAUAUUAUUAUUCUUAUUAACGCAUAUGUAUGUUAAUAUUAUAUUAUAUUUUUAUACACGUAUACAUAUUAACAUUAUACCAUGUAUAUAUUUUUUUAUAAAUAUCAUAUAUCUAUAUAUAUAUUUCUUAAAUAUAUCAUAUAUACUGUGUACAUACUUCUAAUACUAUCAUGCAUUCAUUUCAAUAUAUGUGUAUAUACCUAUGUAAUAUUAUUAAUAUUUGUUUUUAAACAUUAUUAUUAUUAUUUUUAGCAUAUAUAUAUACUAUGAAAGUAUUUCAAAUAUCGCAUUUUUAUUAUGUAUAUAUUUUAAAUACGGAUACAUUUCUUAUUACGUGUAUAUAUCUCUUAAUAUUGUAUUUUAUGCAUAUACCUUAAUAGUACGUCACUUCUAUAUUUUUAUUUCUCAUACUAUGUUAUAUUUAUAUUUCCAGUAUUAUACCAUAUCUAUUUAUUAGCAUAUCGUUAUCACUAUUAUCAUUAUAUAUUAGUGUACAUUUUUAUAUGUGUAUACAUACACAUUUAUAUAUAUAGUUUUUUUUAUAUAUAUACUAUUACUUUAAUUUAAUAUUUUUAUUAUACUUGCUUUUUUUGUAUUUCUAUAUUUUCAUUAUUAUCAUAUAGUAGCAUAUAUUUUCAUGUAUAUGUAUAUAUACGUUAUAUAGCAUUACUAAUAGCUUAACAUUAUUGUUUUUAGGUAUUUAUAUGUCACAUAUGUUUUCGUUAAAUAUAUAUACAUUAAUCCCCUACUACUUCAUACUCACGUUUACUAUCAUGUUUCAAUACAUGCGCUAUUAUCGUUUCGUACUAUUGUUAUUAUUAUCGUUUUCGUUUUCGUUAUCGUUGUCAUUUUUAUUCUUUGCCAUGUUUAUCAUUUGUCUAUAUUUGCAUACUGUUAACCUUGAUAUUACUUCAUCUUUUACGGUUGCUCAUAUUAUUGUUUUGACACCGUCACACCAUUAUUAUGUUCUUAUACAUGUCAAUGCUAUAUUUUGCCUUUACGUUUUACUAUAAAUCGCGUCACUUUUUGCUCAAUAUAUUAUAACAAUUCUUUCAUAAGAGUAAUAUCCGUUAUUAGGUAAUUCGAGAUAAUCGUGCCCUAACUUACUAGGUUUCGACUUUUCUCAUUUGGCCUAAAUAACAGAAUAUUCUUUUAAAUCACAAUACGAGUCUUUAAAAAUGCUUAUUUUUGGAGAUAUGAAGUGUGGUGCCCUAACUUACAGGGUAUAACAUUUUGACACCUCGAAAUAAGAGCUUUUACAAAUAAAGGUAAUGUUCGGUUUUCAGAAAUUCGAGGAAACGUGCCCUAACUUACUGGGUUUCGAUUUCCCUCGUUCACUCUAACCAACCGAAUAUCUUUUUAAAAGAAGUUAAAAUACAUUAAUUUUAAAUAAAAGGCAAACUCAAUCUCAAAAUUCAAGAUAUCGUGUCCUAACUUACUGGACGUGGUAUUUUAUUAUUGCGAGAGGAGAAGAUCUUUAACGUUUGAACUUUUUACAAAGAGAAAGAUCGUAUUUCAAAGUAUUUUAUGUUUUCAAAUUUUCGACAUUGAGACACUAAUUAAACAACUAGGUACCAAUUUUGGGCGUGUCGAGGGUGCUAACCCUUCCUCGUGCGUAACCGACUCCCGAACUCAUUUUCUUUUUUUCGUAGACCAAAAAUUAUCGUUUUAGUAAAUCUUAAAUUUUAUUAAAAUGAUUAAUCAAAGGUGAUCCGAUCACACCUCAUCAAAAAAGAUUGGUGGCGACUCCAGUUUUUCAUUUUCAUUUUCAAAAUCCAAGUCGACUACCGUUUUUCAAAAGAAUGGUUACGACAGCUUGGCGACUCCACUGGGGAACAAUAAGAGUGUUAAGCCACAAGUUGAUUAACUUUUGUCUUUUUAUCAAAAAUUGAAAAUUUGGUUUUGAAAUACGAUCCUUUCAUUGCAUUUCAUCAGCUAUUUUAUUGGUUUAUAUAAUACCUGCUACGUUGGUCCGAUUCUUUAAAUAGUGUUGCACAUUGCAUUGCAUGACCGCUGUGGUCACACCCUCUUAAGUGGGAGCGCGAAACUAUUCCUUCGUGAGGUUUUCACCUCCGUGCAGGAUAAUGGAUUGCUUCCGGGAUACAUCCGUACCUAUGUCUUCAUGAGACUUUCAUCUCCGGCCAGCCACAGGGAAAUGUAUUCCCCUGAACUGAACUCGGUCUGUAUGAGCCUAUAAUGGGUGAAGAUCGAGGAAUCUGCUGGUUCAGGUACCCUUAUUCUAGAAUCAAACCCCAUAUAGCGAGCCUCAAGAACCCACCCUAGGUAGAGCCACUCCGAAACCCUAGUGGUUACCUGCGUAUAAAUUACUGACUUGCUUUAUUUUACUUUUAUUGUAUUUCCAUGGCAUUUUCAUCAUAAAAGGUGUUGAUUCGCAUUCGGUUCCUAAAUAGAUAGCUUAUCAUGGAAAAGGGGUUUUUUGAUAAAGUAGAAGACAACGCGGCUGUCCGGAUAUAGGCUGAGACAACGCAACAAGAGAAAGGCGACAGUCUUACCGAGGGGUACGUGUCAGAGUUAUGGAAUUUUACUCGGAUCAGCGUAACUCAGAAUAAUCUCCAAGAGAUGAAAGAAAUUUGGGGUCAGUGGGAUGAUGAGGUCAAACAGCUAUUCUGUUGUCAUUACAGUGAUUUACCUUAUCUGCUCAACGUCAAGGUAGACGAGCACCUGUUUCGAGCCCUUGCCCAAUAUUGGAAUUCUGCUUACAGUUGCUUCACUUUCGGGAAGGUAGAUUUGGUACCUACUAUAGAAGAAUACAUGACCUUGCUCCAUUGCCCAAAGAUUCAAGUAGACAGAAUUUAUACCAGACCUGCUAACGUCCCAGCAUUUUCAAAAAAAUUAAUGAACAUCAUAGGGAUGAGCGAACAAUGGGUGACAACUCGGAUCAAACAAAAAGGAGAUGGUAAAUGCAUUCCUUGGAAGAACCUGAGGGAUCUAAUCUUAGCGCACCCCGACGUGAAUAAAAGGGUAGAUGUCUUCGCCUUGAGCAUUUAUGGACUGGUCAUCUUCCCCAAAGCUUUGAGGCAUAUAGACGAGGCUGUUACCUACCUUUUUGACAGGUUUGGUAAAGGAACCACCCCUAUACCAGCAAUCUUGGCUGAAACUUUCAGAUCAUUAAAUGCUUGUAGAAGAGCGGGCGAAGGGAGAUUUAUUAGAUGUGCACAGCUCUUGCUAUCCUGGUUCCACAGCCAUUUUUCGAAAGUGGAAAAGAUCUCGUAUCGCAUCUUCUCUAAAAAUUACUCUCCGCUGAAAGAGUUAGUAGCUACACCGAGGCGAGAUGAUGUGACAGAAGAAAAUUGGAUGACGGUUCUCCAAAAUCUGUAAGAAGAAGAUAUUGAAUGGAGAGCCCCGUGGAUGGUUCCUGAUGAAAUAUUAUACCGAUGCAGAGAUUUCGAUUGGGUUCCCUUGUUAGGAGUAUGGGGGGCCGUCGGGUAUGCUCCUCUGCUUACAUUACGACAAUACAGAUCCAGACAGUUUACACCACCAACAUACGGGUUAGCCCAGUGCGAGUUCGUGUUCACAGGGAAUAAUUACAAAAAGAAAGUUCGCGAGAUAUCAAGUGCCUGGAACCAGACUCGUAAAAUGAAGAAGUUUGCUGCCAAUCCCAUGACUACUCCUGAGUACGACCGAUGGUGGAAUCAGAGGAUUAACGACAACAUCCCUACAUCAGAUCAAGGGAAUCCUCAGUCGAUAGAAGAGCACUUGAAAGUAAUCCCAUCUGAGCUGGAAAUCAUCAGGCAAGAUUUCGAGAGAAAGAGUCUAGAGCUAGAAAAAAGGAUCGAGCAUUUGGAAGAAGAAAAGAUGCAGUUAGGGUUAGACGUCGAUGCCCAGAAACUAGAAGCUGAAAGACUCAGAAAAGGGAAAAACAAGGCUGAAGAGGACUUAGACAGUUUGAAAACGGACUAUAAGAAGCUGCGCAAAUCAAUGAGAACCGCUGGGUUAGGAAAAACAUCUGAAAAAUGGCGACAUGAAGUUAAAGAAGAACAAAGCAAAGCCAACUAGUGGGAGGAAAAAUUUCGCGAUGCUCAAGCUCGAGAAAGUGCUCUGAAAAGAAGUUUGGUAGAAAGUCAGAAUGAGAAAGAAGGGCUAAAGAUUCGGGUAUCAGAGUUAGAGAGGUCAUUGUAUCAGUAUCGCUCGCGUAACUCUGCAAUCGAGUUGAAAGCUAGUCAGAACAGAAUCGAAGAAUUAAGAAAGAAUAUAGAAGAACUCAAAACAGCGCUACAAAAUCGUGAACUUUAGAUAGAACUCCUCGAGGUAAAUAACGAGCGAUGGAAGGAGAAACUUCAUCAAUCUCAAGACCAAGUCAGGAGCAGGGACUACAUCAUGGGCAAAGCUUUGAUUCAAGUACGAGAAUUGGCUGACCACUUGCAAACAUUAGCAGUACAAGCCGAUGUGCUGAGUUUAAAAUACGAGUCAGAAUCGGACUGAGGCCAAAAGCUAGCUCGGCUCUUUAGACAGGUCAAGGCCUUAAGCAUCAGGGCCAAGCCUUAUAUGUAAUCUAUUUUAUGUAAAGAAACUUGUUUUCUAGAAAAGUUACUCUAAUGAAAUCGAAUUGGAAUCAACACUUUUUUGCAUUCAUUACAUUCAUGCAUCGGCAUUGCAUUGCACGCACUAAAACUCACAGAAAACCUUAAAAAUCGUGACAGUUACCCUGGAACAUCGUUACGGUACAAGAGGAAAAACAAGAGCAAUGGAUCAAAGGUUAGAGAGAUUGGAACAAAUGCAAAAAGAGAUGCAGGGUCAACUACAAACACGUAUGCAAGAACAGCUGGCCAAAAUCCAGCAAGAUGUAAGGGACCAAAUGCUGGAGUCCCAAAGGAGUAUGAUGGAUCAAUUAACGCGUCUAUUGGCUGGUGGAUUAGAAAAAGGGAAAAGCCCCAUGAUCAAUGCUGGAGAUGACAACGAAGAUCCCGUCUACCCUCUGGGGUUUGUCCCAGCGGACAUUCAAACAUAACCUGAUGUGUACCCAAGAAGGCCAUCAGUCACAAUCAGGCCUCAACCAUUUCAAGCCGGUGUCUCGGCACAGAUGAAUUAUCAGACUGGUUUGGGCUCUAAUCCGAGGGACAAUCUAACCAACCCUGUGGUCCUCAAUCUCGAUGAAGUGAUAGAAGCAGAAAAGACAAGGGUAGAACUCCCGAGAGAGCUUGAAGAAAGAUGUAGAUGGUUGGAAGAAAAAUUUAAAGAAAUGGAAAACACCGACUAUCGUGGUGGAAUCGACGCUAAGGAAUUAAGUUUGGUUCCAGACCUGGUACUCCCUCCCAAGUUCAAAACUCCGAAAUUUGAGAAAUACAACUGGACUAGCUGUCCCGAAGCUCACAUCACUAUGUUCUGUAGACGAAUGGCAGGCUAUGUCAAUAAUGACCAACUAUUGAUCCACUGCUUCCAGGAAGUCUGGUUGGGGCCGCUUCUAGGUGGUACAACCAACUAAGUCGUAACCAGAUCAGUUCAUGGAGGGAUUUAGCACAGGCUUUCAUGAAGCAGUACAGUCACGUGACAGACAUGGCUCCUGAUAGAGUCACAUUACAGAACAUGGAGAAGAAACAAAAUGAGAGUUUCAGGCAAUACGCCCAAAGAUGGAGAGAGGUAGCAAUGCAAGUUCAACCACCUCUUUUGGAGAAAGAAACGACCAUGCUUUUUAUCAAUACACUGAAGGCUCCGUUCAUUAACCACAUGCUAGGGAGCGCUACUAAAAGCUUCUCAGACAUAGUAAUGUCAGAAGAAAUGAUAGAAAAUGCGAUAAGAUGUGGAAGGAUUGAAGCAGGGGAAAGUGCUAAGAGAUCAACCCCGAGAAGGAAAGAGAAUGAUGUAAACAACACGAGUAUGUAUAAUAAGCCAGUCACUAUGAGCCAACCAAAGGUGGUGACUACCAGCCAUCAGGGCUUCGCUAGACGAGACUUUAACCCAAGGCCUAACACGGAAAGAGUCCAGUUUACUCCUAUCCCGAUGUCCUACAAGGAAUUGUACCAGAGCUUAUUCGAUGCCCAUGUAGUGUCACCCUUCUAUCUAAAGCCAAUUCAACCCCUAUUCCCCAAAUGGUAUGAUGCAAACGCCCAAUGCGAAUACCAUGCAGGAGCCACAGGGCACUCAAUAGAAAAUUGCACCACUUUCAAAAAGCUGGUUGAAAGACUCAUCAACAUGGGCAUCGUGAAAUUUGAUGAUACACCUAGUGCAGAAGACUCGUUACCUAAUCAUGGGGAUAAAGGUAUAAAUGCCAUAAUCGAGAGUUCAGGGAAGGAAAUUAAGAUGAAUGUUACAGAAGUGAAUACUCCACUAAAAGAAGUAUGGAAGAAAAUGGUGGAAAAGGGGUUGGUAACACAGAAUUCAGGGGACAGAUACCAAGGAGCAAAAAGUUAUUGCGAGUUCCAUAAUCAAGAGGACCAUGAGAUUCAGAAAUGUAGCGAAUUCAGGGCUCUAGUACAAGGGUUAAUGGAUAAUAAGGAGCUGGAAUUCUUCGAGUAUGUUAGGAACCCAGAAGGAACAGAUGUGUGUGCCUCCGAAGAGGGGUCGAUGAACGAUGUUCACAAAUUCAACCACCCAGUGGUUAUCAUAUCACGUCCGAGAAUGAAUGAAGCUGGGGCACGAGUUGCGCCAAAGGUCGUGAUCCAAAAGCCCGUUACUUUUCCUUAUAAAGAUAGCAAAAGGGUACCGUGGAACUAUAGCUGCAAUGUGACAUUCCCGGGAGAGGAGACCCCGAUUAAUGCAUCAGAGAAAGUUCAAGACGAAGGUUUUUAUACGCGCAGCGGAAGGCGUUAUACCCCAAAUACAAAAGCCGAGCAGGUUAAAGAAAAAUCAUUAGCAAUUGAGCAAAAGAAAGAGAAGCUGGCGGGGCCUGAACCAACUGUUAAUGAAUCAGUGACUGAAAAAGAAGCCAAGGAAUUCUUAAAAUUUCUAAAGCACAGUGAAUAUAGUGUCGUAGAAUAGUUGCACAAACAGCCAGCUCGUAUAUCGGUACUGGCCUUACUCUUAAGCUCCGAAACCCAUCGCAGCGCGUUGAUGAAGGUGCUGAAUGAAACUUAUGUUGCUAAUGAUAUCUCUGUAAACAAACUGGACCGCUUAGUCAACAAUAUAAGUGCCGAAAAGUUCAUAUUCUUCAAUGACGAUGAGGUACCACCAGAGGGCCGAGGAUCAACUAAAGCUUUGCAUAUCACAGCUUGCUGUAAAGGGUACACGUUACCGGAGGUAUUGAUUGACAAUGGGUCUGCACUGAAUGUCUUACCCCUAUCUACGCUGAGUAGGUUGCCAGUAGAUAGUUCCUAUAUGAAGACAUGCCAAAGUGUAGUGAGAGCAUUUGAUGGCACGGAAAGGAGGGUAAUGGGGAGAAUUGAAGUACCCCUCUUAAUCGGGCCGAGCACAUACGAGGUAGAUUUCUUAGUCAUGGACAUUAAGCCUUCGUAUAAUUGCCUAUUGGGGAGGCCAUGGAUACACUCAGCGGGGGCAGUCCCUUCGUCGCUGCACCAAAAGUUGAAAUUAGUGACUGAAGGUCGGUUAGUAACGAUCAAUGCUGAAGAAGACAUCAUCGCGGCAAUAACCAGUGAUGCCCCAUAUCUGGAGACAAAUGAUGAAGCGAUCGAGUGCUCUUUUCGAUCUUUAGAGUUUGUGAACGCGACAUUCAUCAUCGAAGGAAAUAAGAUUCCAAUGCCCAGAUUAUCUGAGACUACAAGAAUGGGACUACGGCUAACUAUUGGAAAAGGGGCUCUACCCGGAAGAGGACUCGGGAGAUACCUCCAAGGAAGGAUUAAUGUACCAAUGAUGAAGGACAAACAAGACCGUUUUGGGUUAGGGUUUAAGCCGGACAUGAAACAAAGAAAGAAGGAACUGGAGAAGAGGCAAGAAAGAAGGAGAGCGCGAUUGAAUGGGGGAGAAAUCGAAUGGGAACCAAUGAUCUUCCCCCAUAUAUCGAAGACUUUUGUGUCUGGAGGGGUCAUUCACUCCGAGCGGAAGACGUCGGUAAAAGAAAUCUUGGAAGGAAUGAUGGAGAGUUUGGACAUUAACGCUACAUAUGAAGAAGGGACGGGGGUAGAGAAUUUGUCAGGCAUUCGCCCCUAUGAGCCAGGAAGUGUUCUGAAUAAUUGGACUGUGGAAGAAAUUCCUGUGGUCUUUAGAACUAACUCAGAGUAAUGUCCAAAACACACUUAUUGCUCUAGGCCUAGGAGUAACAGGUGUCAUUUUGUGAAAUAGGCUUAUGUUCAAAAUUGUUAUUUCUAUGAAAUGCAUCUUUUUGACUUAUUUCGUGCAAAUAUUCUUUUAUUCUUUCAUUCAUGAUCAUACCAGACAUAUCAUUGUUCUUAGAUUCUCUUGUUCUUUGCAUCUUCCUUCACACCUACAACAGGUCUCCAGAUAUCAAUGAUGCGAAUGACGUCGCUACUAAUUCAGAGUCUCCUUUUGAGCGAGAUAUGUGUCUAGAGGGAUCCCAGGACUUUGAGGAUGACAGAGAUUGUAACUUAUCCCUUGAUUUGUUAAGGAUGGUGGAGCACGAGGAGAAACAGAUCCUACCCCACAAAGAGACCGUAGAAGUCGUGAACUUGGGAGAUGAACUGGAAAAGAAAGAAGUAAAUAUCGGAACUUACAUCACCACAGAGACAAAACGGGACCUUAUUGAGUUACUCCAAGAGUUCAAGGAUGUCUUUGCAUGGUCAUACCAGGAUAUGCCUGGGCUAAGUACUGACAUUGUGGUACACAGGCUCCCCAUCAAAGAAGAAUGCAAGCCAGUUCAGCAAAAGCUUCAAAGGAUGCGGCUCGAUGUUCUGUUGAAGAUAAAAGAGGAAGUCAAGAGGCAAUUUGAUGCUGGUUUCUUACAAGUAGUUAAAUACUCGGAAUGGGUAGCCAACAUCGUCCCUGUCCCUAAAAAAGAUGGAAAGGUACGGAUGUGUGUAGACUACAGAGACUUAAACAAGGCCAGCCCAAAAGAUAAUUUCCCGUUGCCUCAUAUCGACACCUUAGUGGACAACACGGCAGGUUACUCACUCUUCUCCUUCAUGGAUGGUUUCUCGGGGUACAAUCAGAUCAAGAUGCAUUCUGAAGACAUGAAUAAAACCACAUUUGUGACCAUGUGGGGGACCUUUUGCUAUAAAGUAAUGCCAUUCGGAUUGAAAAAUGCAAGAGCAACAUAUCAGAGAGCCAUGGUAACCCUAUUUCAUGAUAUGAUGCAUAAAGAAAUUGAAGUCUACGUCGAUGACAUGAUUGCCAAAUCUCGGACUGAAGAAGACCAUGUGCAAGUCUUGAGGAAAUUAUUUUUAAGGUUGAGAAAAUUCCAGUUGAAACUCAAUCCCGCAAAAUGUACCUUCGGAGCCAGGUCAGGUAAACUGCUAGGAUUCGUGGUCAAUGGAAAAGGGAUUGAGAUUGACCCAGAUAAAGUCAAAGCCAUACAAGAGUUACCUCCACCACGUACUCAGAAGGAAGUUCGAGGAUUCCUAGGAAGACUAAAUUACAUCGCUCGGUUUAUUUCACAACUAACCGAGAAAUGUGACCCCAUAUUCCGUCUCCUUAAGAAACACAACCCUGGUGGUUGGGACGAAGAAUGCCAGAAGACUUUCGACAAAGUUAAGCAAUAUUUUUCUAAUGCCCCAGUGUUGACACCACCUAAUCCAGAUAAGCCAUUGAUACUGUAUUUGACAGUAUUUGAAAAUUCUAUGGGAUGCGUGCUUGGCCAACACGAUGAAUUGGGAAGGAAAGAAAGAGCGAUAUAUUACCUCAGUAAAAAGUUUACUGAGUGUAAGACGAGAUACUCGUUCAUUGAAAAGUUGUGCUGUGCCUUGAUCUGGACAACCCGAAGACUGAGACAAUACAUGUUGUAUCACACAACUUGGCUAAUCUCUAAAAUGGACCCUCUGAAAUACUUGAUGGAGUCGACUGCCUUGAACAGGAGAAUGGCCCGAUGGCAAAUUCUACUUUUUGAAUUCGAUGUAGUCUAUGUGAACCAGAGGGCCGUAAAAGGAAGUGCGAUAGCAGAUUUCCUAGCCAGCAGAGCCCUAGAGGACUACGAGCCUCUGAACUUUGAUUUCCCAAAUGAAGAUCUAAUGUGCAUAGCAACCACUGAAGAACACCCUUAAAAAGGUUACCCUUGGAAGCUAAACUUUGACGGAGCAUCAAAUGCUGUGGGUAACGGAAUCGGGGCAGUCCUGGUAUCCCCGAACGGAGAUCAUUAUCCAUUCAUUAGUAAAUUGGAUUUUGACUGCACGAAUAAUAUGGCAGAAUACGAAGCAUGCAUCAUGGGAAUACGUGCGGCCAUAGAACGUAAAAUCAAGGUGUUAGAGGUAUAUGGCGAUUCUGCCCUAGUGAUUUAUCAACUCAAAGGUGAAUGGGAGACAAGAGACCCCAAAUUGAUCGAUUACCAGAAGAUGAUCCUUGAGUUAAUUAAAGAGUUUGAUGAUAUUGUCUUCUACUACCUCCCACGAGAAGAAAAUCAGAUGGCUGACUCCCUAGCAACUUUGGCUUCUAUGAUCAAAGUGAACCAACUGGAAGAUGUGAAACUGAUCCAAAUGAGCAUUUACAAGGCCCCGGCUCAUUGUUACAACCUUGAAGAAGAAGAGGAAAAUGAUGAUCACCCUUGGUACCACGAUAUCCUACGAUAUGUGAAGAAUUGUGAGUACCCCGGCCGAGCUACUAAGAACGACAAGAGAACUUUAAGAAGACUGGCCAGUGACUAUGUCUUAGAUGGGAGAUCCUUACAAAAGAAGGAAGGAUCAGGUACUAUUAAGAUGUGUAGAAGCCAUUGAGGCUAAGAAAAUCUUGGAAGAAGUCCAUGAGGGCAUCUGCGGGACACACGCUAAUGGUUUUACAAUGGCCAGGCAAAUUAUGAGGUUCGGUUAUUAUUGGUCCACCAUGGAAGGAGACUAUAUUAACUAUGCCAAAAGAUGUCAUAAGUGCCAGAUCUAUAGAGACAAGAUUAAUAUACCUCCCUCACCUCUGCAUGUCAUGACUUCGCCAUGGUCUUUCUCGAUGUGGGGCAUGGAUGUGAUUGGGCCAAUUUCGCCAAAAGCUUCAAGUGGGCAUCGUUUCAUCUUUGUGGUCAUCGAUUAUUUCACCAAAUGGGUGGAGGCCGCUUCAUAUGCCAAUGUCACUAAAUCAGCAGUUAGCAAGUUCCUAAAAAAGGAAAUCAUCUAUCGAUACGGAAUGCCGGAAAGGAUCAUAUCUGACAACGCAUUGAAUUUAAACAACAGCACGAUAGCGGAUGUCUGCAGUCAGUUCAAGAUCAGACACCACAACUCGUCACCGUAUCGCCCGAAGAUGAACGGUGCAGUCGAAGCAGCCAAUAAGAACAUCAAGAAGAUUGUAGGAAAGAUGACAGAAACUUAUAAAGAUUGGCAUGAGAAGCUACCAUUCGCCCUCUAUGCUUAUCGAACGUCCAUCAGAACUUCUACUGGGGCAACGCCUUUCUCAUUAGUCUAUGGAAUGGAGGCAGUUUUACCUAUCGAGGUCGAGAUCCCUUCCCUUAGAGUCUUGUCAGAGGUAAAGUUGGAUGAAGCAGAAUGGAUCCAGUCCCGAUACGAUCAGUUGAAUUUGAUUGAAGAAAAGAGGCUACGGGCUAUUUUCCAUGGUCAGAUGUACCAAAAGCGAAUAAUGGGAGCUUACAACAAAAAGGUUCGUCCCACAGAGUUCCAUGAGGGAGACCUAGUACUGAAAAAGAUCCUGCCCAUACAAAAAGACUUCAGAGGAAAAUGGACGCCGAAUUGGGAAGGGCCUUAUGUGGUGAAGAAAGCCUUUUCUGGCGGAGCAUUGAUAUUGGCUGAAAUGGAUGGCAAGGCCUUAUCCAAUCCCAUGAAUUCGGAUUCGGUUAAGAAAUACUUCGCCUAAAAAACAAAGAAGGAGAGGCCAGGGUGAAAAUUCGCAAAGAGCAUCUUGAGACCAAAGGGAUUUUGAAUUGAAAACCCGUAAAGGGCAAUUCAAAUUUUGAUCAAAGGUGGGGCAUGCGAUGGUCUUAUGGUACCUAAAUUAACAAGGAGGAGAGAUGUUACAUCUUGGGGCAUCUGCAAGAGUACCCUAGAUCCCCUAAACACAUACUGGGAAAAAAAAAGAGUCCUCAAGAAGUCAGUACAGAGAAACUCACGCUGCGAUAUCUGGGGCACCUAUUCCCUUUUAUUCAUUUUGUAUUCCAGCAAUGUUUGUUGACUGUGAUUAAUAUAUUCCCUUGAAAUGUUGUUUCUGAUAAAUUUCAGUUUUGUCGUUGUUAUAAUCUUUUUCAAGCAUUUUGCAUUGAAAUGAUGAUUAAUGGACUAAAACCAUUUUUUGCAAAAAGAGUUCUGCACAUUACUCCGAAAGUUUCUAAAUAGUACAGGAACCUGAAACAGGACUAUUUUUUAGAACUAACCAAACUCAAAGAUUGGAAGCAUCUGAGAAGAAAAAGUUUAAAUUGGGACUACCUCUUCGGGUUUUCCGUUCAAAAUUUGAACUGAACAAGAAGACAGGGUACCAUUUCAGUGAAGGAACCUUGAUGAACAAAGAGCAAUGGCAACCUAAACAGGGAUUCAUGCUCACAACAUGCUGCACUCAUACAUUCAUAGAUCAUUCAUAAGUGUAUCUAAUUAGGAACAUUUGAUUCAUUUUGAUCAUAACAUCCUAAUUCUUUGACAUAAGCAUAAAUACAUGGAACUGAUUCUACAGGUCAUGUCCCUAGAAUCAGUGAAUUCAUAAAUGUUAUUGCCCUAAACAGUAGGGAAACGAAUCGAAUAUAAUGAGCUUUAACCCCCUAAGCAGUAGGGUAACAAGCCAAAUUUACAGACUUUAACCCCCUAAGUAGUAGGGUAAUAGGCUGAAAAUUACAGAUUUUGUCUCCCUGAAGUUGCAGUGGAACAGAUCGAAUCCAGUGAAUCUUGUCUUCCUGAAGUUGCAGUGAAGCAGAUUGAAGAUUUACAGAUCUUAACCCCCUAAGCAGUAGGGAAACAGAUCGAAGAUAAUGAGCUUUAACCCCCUAAGCAGUAGGGUAACAAGCCAAUUUUACAGACCUUAACCCCCUAAGUAGUAGGGUAAUAGGCUGAAAAUUAUAGAUUUUGUCUCCCUGAAGUUGUAGUGGAACAGAUCGAAUCCAGUGAAUCUUGUCUUCCUGAAGUUGCAGUAAAGCAGAUUGAAGAUUUACAGAUCUUACCCCCUAAGCAGUAGGGAAACAGAUCGAAGGUAACGAGCUUUAACACUCCUAAGUAGUAGGGUAACAAGCCGAAUUUGCAGAUCUUAUCACCUUAAGCAGUGGGGAAACAGAUCAAAGAAGAUGGGCCUUAACCCCCUAAGCAGUAGGGUAAUAGGCUAAAAAUCACAGAUCUUACCUCCCUGAGGUUGCAGUGGAGUAGAUCAAACACAUCAAAUUUUGCCUUAUCGAAUGCAGUGAAGCAGAUUCAAACCACCAAGCUUUAACCCCCUAAGCAGUAGGGUAACAAGCUGAAGUUUAUGGAUAUUACUGCCCUAAGCAAUAGGGUAACGAGCCAAAUUUUCAAACCUUAAAACCCUAAGCAGUAGGAUAAUAGGUUGAGUUAACAGAUCUAAACCCCUAAGCAGUACGGAAACAGAUCAAUGAUGACAAGCCUUAACCCCCUAAGUAGUAGGGUAACAGGUUGAAAAUCAAAUAGCUCCUCCCUGAAAUGGCGUUGGAGCAGCUAAAAGCUACAGCAGUUCUCUUCGAACUUUCAGUGGAAUUGAUUGAAGUCACAUGUCUUAGCUCCAUAGAGUCACAGUGGAGCAGAUCAAAACAAACCUUACCAUCUUGAAGUUGUAGUAGAGUAGUGAAGCGAAGCGAAGCAACAAGAUUGGAAUAAAGCUACCUGGAGAAAAUGAGCGCUAAACAAGUCCAGACAUAGUGAGACCGGGCAAAAUUGGUCUUUCUUAAGUCUUUGCUCUGUUCUUGUUACACGACAACAAGCAAAGAGGGGCAGCUGUACAAGCCCAAUUUUGGGCCCAAUACCCAAAACCCACUAAACCCAAACCAACUUAAACCUACCCAAAACCCAAAUAACCUAGCCCAAUACAUUAAAGAAAAUAAAUGAAAACCUAAAACCCUAGCCGUCAGCACAUGCCCCCCACCCAAUCCACCACCGACGCCUACAAGUGGCCUCUGCUCCACCACCCACUUUCCUACAAAGAGAGAUAAUGUAAUAUAAAAAAGGAUUUGUAAUGGCUAUUUAAGGCCGAAUCAAAGAACGAUGUAAGAAGGAGGACAUUUUGGUGAAAAAUAAAAUUUUUUAUUUUAAACACUAGCAAGAGCAGAGACCACGGCAAUAUCAAGAGCAAAAAAUAGUCAAAACAGAGAAUCAACAUCUAAUAGCCCAAGGUGAUUUCAUUUAGUUAUCAUCAUUAUUUUCUUUCUUUUUAACCUAUUUUACUCAAAAAUACACAUGUAUUAUAAACAUAUAAAAAAUACAAAAAAAUGAGGUAAAAAAAUAUACCUUUUUGAAACUCCGCGGUGGCCGGCCACGGCGGUCGGUGCGGCGGCGCUACGGCGGGCGACGGUCAGGCUGCUGGCCGGAGCCCUCAUCAGUACACGGGCCACCAGCAGAGAGGAGAGCUCUCUUCCUUUUUUUUUAAAAACACCGAAGAAAAAUGAAAUUUUUGAAGGAUUUUAGGCUUUUAUAGCCUUCCGAAACGGCACCGUUUUGGUGCCCAGGCCCAGACCCAAAACGACACCGUUUAGGCGCAACCCGAAUCAGACCCGACCCGCUAACCAGGGAUCCGCAUGUUUUCUCCAUUUUUGGGGUAUUUAUGCCCCUAAUCCCUCUGCCUUUUCCAUCUCCUUCAAUUGGAUCCCUUUCCUCUGCUUUUGUUUUUUUAUUUUAGCCCAUUAAUUCGGCUUUUGAUUCACUUUGGUCCGCAUCGAAACAGUGCAUUCUGAGGACUUGGAAUAAUUUCCUGAUCAGCCCCUCCAUUUAUUUCGCGUGUUCAAGUUAAUCCCCUUUUCCGUUGUUUAUUUUAAAUUCGCCUCAAAGUUCCAUUUUUAAUUCAAAUUUCAUCAUUUUUUCCCUCAUUAUUCUAAUUUUAUUUUAAUAUUAUUUAUAAUAUCAUAUUUUAUUAUUGUUGUAUUUUUAUUAAUAGUUCAUUAUUAUCAUUUUAUUUAAUACUUAUAUAUAUGUUAUAAAGUAUUAUUAAUAAUUUCAAUAUUAUUAUUCUUAUUAACGCAUAUGUAUGUUAAUAUUAUAUUAUAUUUUUAUACAAGUAUACAUAUUAACAUUAUACCAUGUAUAUAUUUUUUUAUAAAUAUCAUAUAUCUAUAUAUAUAUUUCUUAAAUAUAUCAUAUAUACUGUGUACAUACUUCUAAUACUAUCAUGCAUUCAUUUCAAUAUAUAUGUAUAUACCUAUGUAAUAUUAUUAAUAUUUAUUUUUAAACAUUAUUAUUAUUAUUAUUAGCAUAAAUAUAUACUAUGAAAGUAUUUCAAAUAUCGCAUUUUUAUUAUGUAUAUAUUUUAAAUACGGAUACAUUUCUUAUUAUGUGUAUAUAUCUCUUAAUAUUGUAUUUUAUGCAUAUACCUUAAUACUACGUCACUUCUAUAUUUUUAUUUCUCAUACUAUCUUAUAUUUAUAUUUCCAUUAUUAUACCAUAUCUAUUUAUUAGCAUAUCAUUAUCACUAUUAUCAUUAUAUAUUAGUGUACAUUUUUAUAUGUGUAUACAUACACAUUUAUAUAUAUAGUUUUUUUUAUAUCUAUACUAUUACUUUAAUUUAAUAUUUUUAUUAUACUUGCUUUUUUUGUAUUUCUAUAUUUUCAUUAUUAUCAUAUAGUAGCAUAUAUUUUCAUGUAUAUGUAUAUAUACGUUAUAUAGCAUUAUUAAUAGCUUAACAUUAUUGUUUUUAGGUAUUUAUAUGUCACAUAUGUUUUCGUUAAAUAUAUAUACAUUAAUCCCCUACUACUUCAUACUCACGUUUACUAUCAUGUUUCAAUACAUGCGCUAUUAUCGUUUCGUACUAUUGUUAUUAUUAUUAUCGUUUUCGUUUUCGUUAUUGUUGUCAUUUUUAUUCUUUGCCAUGUUUAUCAUUUGUCUAUAUUUGCAUACUGUUAACCUUGAUAUUACUUCAUCUUUUACGGUUGCUCAUAUUAUUGUUUUGACACCGUCACACCAUUAUUAUGUUCUUAUACAUGUCAAUGCUAUAUUUUACCUUUACGUUUUACUAUAAAUCUCGUCACUUUUUGCUCAAUAUAUUAUAACAAUUCUUUCAUAAAAGUAAUAUACGUUAUUAGGUAAUUUGCGAUAAUCGUGCCCUAACUUAUUGGGUUUCGACUUUUCUCAUUAGGCCUAAAUAACAGAAUAUUCUUUUAAAUCACAAUACGAGUCUUUAAAAAUGCUUAUUUUUGGAGAUAUGAAGUGUGGUGCCCUAACUUACCGGGUAUAACAUUUUGACACCUCGAAAUAAGAGCUUUUGCAAAUAAAGGUAAUGUUCGGUUUUCAAAAAUUCGAGGAAACGUGCCCUAACUUACUGGGUUUCGAUUUCCCUCGUUCACUCUAACCAACCGAAUAUCUUUUUAAAAGAAGUUAAAAUACAUUAAUUUUAAAUAAAAGGCAAACUCAAUUUCAAAAUUCAAGAUAUCGUGUCCUAACUUACUGGACGUGGUAUUUUAUUAUUGCGAGACGAGAAGAUCUUUAACGUUUGAACUUUUUACAAAGAGAAAGAUCGUAUUUCAAAGUAUUUUAAGUUUUAAAAUUUUCGACAUUGAGACACUAAUUAAUCAACUAAGUACCAAUUUUGGGCGUAUCGAGGGUGCUAACCCUUCCUCGUGCGUAACCGACUCCCGAACUCAUUUUCUUUUUUUCGUAGACCAAAAAUUAUCGUUUUAGUAAAUCUUAAAUUUUAUUAAAAUGAUUAAUCAAAGGUGAUCCGAUCACACCUCAUCAAAAAAGAUUGGUGGCGACUCCAGUUUUUCGUUUUCAUUUUCAAAAUCCAAGUCGACUAUCGUUUUUCAAAAGAAUGGUUACGACACCAACCAUUUUGAGUCUGUUUGAGAACGUUUGAGAGUCAUAUCUGCAAUGUCCUCGAUUUGUUCCUUGUAAGCACAAGAAUAUUAAAUCAUCUUGGUUCUGUUUCAGUACAAUCAUGUGAAGGUUAGAUCUGCUAUAUCUGAGAACAUCUGAGAGUCAAAUCUGCUAUUUCCUCGAUUUGUUCCUUGUAAACACAAGAAUACCAAAUCAUCUUGGAUCUGCUUCAGUAUAAACAUCUGAAGGUUAGAUCUGUUAUAUUUGAGAACGUCUGAGAGUCAAAUCUGCUAUGUCCUCGAUUUGUUCCUUGUAAACACAAGAAUACCAAAUCAUCUUGGAUUUGCUUCAGUAUAAACAUAUGAAGGUUAGAUCUGCUAUAUUUGAGAAUGUCUGAGAGUCAAAUCUGCUAUGUCCUCGAUUUGUUUCUUGUAAACACAAGAAUACCAAAUCAUCUUGGACCUGCUUCAGCAUAAAUGUCUGAAGUCUAGAUCUGCUGUUUUCAAUUUAUUUCCCAUAAGCACAGGGAUGCCAUGUUGAAAUCUUUGAUCUUCAUUGCCCCCUAGAGGACACGACCUGUAAGAUGAGUAUGUGCCUAUGCCUAAGUAUGCUAUGAUUGAAAUGAGUCGAAUGUCCUUAACAUGUUAUGAUGCAAAGUGCUGUGAAUAUGACCCCUAUCUCAGGUGUCAUCAUUCAUUCCUUCAUUUGUCUUUUUCAAAAUUUUAUUCUUACUCAGCUUGUAGGCCUUCCUCCAAUGCUAUGAUCUACUGAGGAUGUUUGUAAGAAUUGAAUCAUCCAUUUCUUUUUGGACUGGAAGAAAGAAAUCCCUCGAGUUCCUUCAUUCCUUACUUACGUGAAUUUCUCGAACAAUUGUCCUGUUUUAGUUUCUUGUAUUAUCUAGAAAUUCCAAAGUAAUGAGCAAAACUUCGUUUGUGAAAAUAUUUUAGUUCAUCUAUCAUUAUUUCAAUGCAACAUACUUUAAAAAUAUCGGAAGAUGAGUAAAUCUUUGAGAAUAAUUGGAUUCGAAUUGUUAACAGUACAAAGGAAAUAAGUAUGAUAGCAUAUCUUUAAGAAGAAAUAGAAUCUAAAGAUAGCAAACAGGAUAAAAAUUAAAUGCUCUAAAUAUCGCCGCUUGAGCGUCUAUACAUUAGUUCCCCGAAGCCUUUCUUGAGUUCGACAUGUGUUUAAAAGAUCCAAAGUACUUUGUUGAUGCCCCAAUGUACACUGUGCCUCACUCUCUGUCAAGUCAAAUAUAGCAAGGUUGCUGUGUGCCCUUCAAAAUUUGAGCUGCCUUUUCAGGUUUUUAACUCAAAAUCCCUUUGGUCACAAGGUGCCCUUUGUGGGUUUUCACCUUGGCCUCUUUAUUUUUUUUCAAAAUUCAAGGCGCCCUUUGUGGGUUUUCACCUUGGAUUCGUUUCUCUUUUAGACAAAGUACUUUUUUACUGAGUCUGAGUUCACCGGAUUGGGUAGUCUCUUUCCAUCCAUUUCUGUCAAAAUCAAUGCACCACCAGAAAAAGCCUUCUUCACGACGUAUGGCCCCUCCCAAUUUGGCAUCCAUUUUCCUCUAAAGUCCUUCUGAAUGGGAAGGAUUUUCUUUAGCACAAGGUCCCCCUCAUGGAAUUCCCUUGGACGAACCUUUUUAUCAUAAGCUUGCAUCAUACGCUUUUGGUACAUCUGACUAUGUCGGAUAGCCUUCAGCCUUUUAUCCUCAGUCAAGUUUAGCUGGUCAUAUUGAGACUGAACCCAUUCAGCGUCAUCUAACCUUAUCUCUGUUAAAAUAGAAAAGGUAUUUCCACUUCAAUAGGUAAAACUGCUUCCAUCCCGUAAACUAACGAGAACGGAGUUGCCCCAGUAGAAGUUCUAACAGAUGUUCGAUAGGCCAAGAGUGCAAACGGUAGCUUUUCAUGCCAAUCCCUAUAAGUCUCAGUCAUCUUUCCCACUAUUUUCUUAAUGUUCUUAUUGGCAGCCUCCACUUCCCCAUUUAUCUUUGGACGAUAGGGUGAAGAGUUGUGAUGCUUGAUUUUGAACUGGUCGCAAACCUCUGCUAUCGUUUUGUUGUUCAAAUUCAAUGCAUUGUCAGAUAUGAUCCUCUCAGGCAUUCCAUACCAACAAAUGAUUUCCUUAUUCAAAAAUCAACUUACAGCUGACUUAGUAACAUUUGCGUAAGAAGCAGCCUCUACCCAUUUUGUAAAGUAGUCAAUUACUACGAAAAUAAACCGACGUCUGUUCGAAGCUUUCAGCGAUAUUGGUCCGAUGACAUCCAUGCCCCACAUGGAAAAUGGCCAUGGAGACAUCAUGACAUGUAAAGGUGAAGGUGGUACAUGAAUUUUGUCCCCAUAAAUCUGACACUUAUGGCAUUUUUUGGCAUAGUUGAUACAGUCUCCUUCCAUAGUGGCCCAGUAAUAGCCAAACCUCAUGAUUUGUCUUGCCAUCGUGAACCCAUUUGCAUGCAUACCACAUACACCUUCAUGAACCUCUUCUAGAAUUAGCUUGGCUUCCACAGCAUCGACACAUCUCAAAAGUACUUGGUCUUUCCUUCUAUUGUACAGAACAUCCCCGUCUAAAACAUAGUCACAAGCUAACCUUCUCAGGGUUCGUUUGUCAUUUUCAGAUGCAUGUGCUGGAUAUUUACGAUCUCUUACAUAUCGCAAUAUAUCAUGAUACCAAGGAUUGUCAUCCUUUUCUUCCUCUUCAAGGUUACAACAGCUAGUUGGAAAUUCAUAGACACUCAUUUGAAUUGGUCUCAUCUCUUCCUCUUUGCUUGCCUUAAUCAUUGAAGCCAAGGUUGCUAAAGGAUCUGCCAUCUGAUUCUCAUCUCAUGGGAGAUAGUUGAAGGUGAUGUCAUCGAACUCUCUUAGUAACCCUAAAACUACCAUUCAAUAAUUGAUCAAUUUAGGGUCUUUUGUCUCUCAUUCACCUCUUAGCUGAUAGAUUACCAACGCAGAAUCUCCAUAUACUUCUAGGGUUUUUAUGCCUCUUUCUAUGGAUGCUUGGAGCCCCAUGAUGCAUGCUUCGUAUUCAGCCAUAUUAUUUGUACAGUCAAAAUCCAACUUGCACGUGAACGGGUAAUAGUCACCAUUCGGGGAUACCAAGACUGCCCCAAUUCCAUUUUCGACUGCAUUAGAAGCCCCAUCAAAAUUUAACUUCCAUAAAGAAUCUUCAGUUGCUGCUAUACACAUUAGCUCCUCAUUUGGAAAAUCAAAAUUCAAUGUCUCGUAAUCCUCCAAAGCUCUACUGGCCAAGAAGUCUGCCACUGCACUUCCUUUGAUAGCCUUCUGACUUACAUAGACUAUAUCGAACUCUGAAAGCAAAAUUUGCCAUCUCGCCAUUCUUCCAUUUAAAGCCGUUGAUUCCAUCAUGUAUUUUAAUAGAUCUAAUUUUGAGAUGAGCCAAGUAGUAUGGUAUAGCAUGUACUGUCUUAAUCUUCGUGGGGUCAAAAUCAACGCACAGCACAACUUUUCGAUUGGUGAAUAUCUCAUUUCACAGUCAGUGAAUUUCUUACUGAGAUAAUAAAUUGCCUUUUCCCUUUUCCCUGACUCGUCAUGCUGACCAAGCACACAUCCCAUAGAAUUGCUAAACACUGACAAGUAUAGUAUUAACGGUUUAUCUGGCCUAGGCGGAGAUAACAUUAGAGCAUUCAACAAAUACUGCUUGACUUUCUCAAAAGCAUUCUGGCAUUCUUCAUCCCAAGCACCUUGAUUGUGCUUUCUGAGGAGACGAAAGAUAGGAUUACAUUUCUCAGUCAAUUGUGAAAUGAACCGAGCAAUGUAAUUCAACCUUCCUAGGAAUCCUCAAACUUCUUUUUGAGUACGUGGUGGAGGCAACUCCCGUAUGGCUCUGACCUUGUCCGAGCCAACUUCAAUUCCCUUUUCACUGACUACGAAGCCUAAUAACUUCCCCGAUCUGGCUCCAAAGGUGCACUUUGCUGGAUUGAGCUUCAACUAAAAUUUUCUCUACCUUAAGAACAAUCUUCUCAAGACCUCAAUGUGUUCUUUUUCUAUUUGUGACUUGGCAAUCAUAUCAUCAACGUAUACCUCAAUAUCCUUAUGCAUCAUGUCAUGAAACAAGUUUACCAUGGCUCAUUGGUAUGUUGCCCCUGCGUUCUUCAGCCCAAACGGCAUUACUUUAUAACAAAAGUUGCCCCACAAUGUUAUGAAAGUAGUUUUAUCAAUAUCCUCUGGAUGCAUCUUUAUCUGAUUGUAUCCUGAGAAGUCAUCCAUAAAGGAGAACAACGAAUAUCUUGCUGUGUUGUCUACUAAAGUGUCGAUGUGUGGCAGAGGAAAAUUAUCCUUUUGGCUUGCUUUGUUUAGACCUCUGUAAUCAACGCACAUUCGUACCUUCCCGUCUGUCUUAGGGACAGGUACAAUAUUAGCUACCCAUUCAGAGUACUUCACUUCCUGCAAAAAUCCUCCAUCAAACUGCUUCUUGACCUCAUCUUUUAUUUUCAGGACAAUGUCUGGCCGCAUCCUUCGCAACUUCUGUUGGACCGGUUUACAUUCUUGUCUUAUCGGAAGAUGAUGUACUACAAUGUCAGUACUCAAUCCGGGCAUAUCCUGAUAAGACCAUGCAAAGAUAUCCUUGAAUUCCUGAAGCAACUCAAUCAAGCUACGCCUUGUGUCAUUAGUGAUUGGUGUUCCAAUUUUCACCUCCUUUCCUUCCUCUAGGGCUAUAUUCUCUAUUGCCUCUUUUUCAUGUGGCAUGAUUUGUUUCUCCUCCUGUUUUACCAUUCUUAAUAGAUCGAGAGAUACGUCACAAUCUUGAACAUCUUCAAAAUCCUGAGGCUCCUCUAAACACAUGUCUUGCUCACAAGAGAAAUCAAGAGCGGCAGUAUUAGCACUCAUAUCAUUGAUAUCUAGAGACCUGUGAGGGGUAUGAAAGAAUAUACAAAGAAUGAAUGAAUUUAAGAAUGAUCUUUCAUGUGCUAUGAAUAAAAGAAUAAGAGUUGUUAGAAUUUAAAGGAAUAUUGGUUGAUAAAAAUGAAGCAAUAAUCUUUUAAAUUGAUAAAAGUUAUGUUUUAUUUGAAUAAUAACAGAUGAACAUAAGCCUAUUUUCACAAACAUAAUCUUACUACUCCUAGGUCCUAGAGUAAUAAACAUGUUUCGAGAAUUACUCUGAAAAAUUUCUAAAGACUACAGGAAGAUCCUCAGCAGUCCAAUUGUUUAGAGAGCUCCUCGGUUCGUAAGGGCGAAUACCCUCAAGGUUUUCCUGUCCAAACCACUCACUAUGUACAACAUUGAUUUGAUGACUCUCUUCUACCAGCAACCCUCCUGACUUAAAGGUUUCAGAUAUAGGUGGGAAUGUCAUCAGUUCCCACCCUACUUCUCCUCCGUUCAAACGUGCCUUCCUUCUUGCUUGACGCUUUUCCAUCUCCUGUCUCUUUUGUUUAUGGUCUGGCUUAAAACCCAAACCAAAGCGAUCCUUCUUUUCCAUCAAUUUUGGGACUUGAAUCCCUCCUUGCAACUGUUUUCCUAGUCCUUUUCCUGGCAAUGCUCCUUUCCCCAUCAUUAUUUGCAGGGCCAUCCUUGUUGCUCUAGACAUUCUGGGAACCGGCACCUCGCUUCCCUCCGAAAUGAAGGUAGCAUUAACAAUUUCCAAGGAACGAAAAGAACACUCGAUAGCCUCCUCAUUUGUCUCCACAUAAGGAGGUUUACUAGUGACGGCUGCUAUGAUGUCCUCCUCUGCAUUGAUGGUUAUCAAGCGUUCAUCUGUCACCAACUUUAAUUUUUGGUGCAGUGAAGAAGGCACCGCUACUGCCGAGUGUAUCCAUGGCCUCCCUAACAAACAAUUAUAGGAGGGCUUGAUAUCCAUUACCAGGAAGUCAACUUCAUACGUAUUUGGUCCAAUCUCCAGAGGGAUGUCAAUUCGUCCCAUUACUUUCCUUUCAGUUCCGUCAAAGGCUCUUACCACAUUAUGACAUGUCUUCAUGUGCGAACUAUCGAUGGGCAAUCUGUUCAAUGUAGAUAAUGGAAGGACGUUCAAAGCGGACCCAUUAUCAACGAGUACACUUGGAAGCGUGUAUCAUUUGUAACGAGUGGUGAUGUGCAAAGCCUUAGUUGACCCUAUGCCUCCAGGUGGAAUUUCAUCAUCAUUGAAGUAGGUGAAAUUAUCAGCACUGAUGUUAUUUAUCAACCGGUCCAACUUAUUGACAGAUAUAUCAUGAGUGACAUAUGUCUCGUUGAGUACCUUCAACAACGCUUCUCGAUGCACUUCAGAGCUUAGCAGUAAGGCUAAAACUGAUAUGCGUGCUGGUUGCUUACGCAACUGCUCGACCACACUGUACUCACUAUGCUUAAGGAACUUUAGAAAUUCCUUAGCUCCCUUCUCCCUCACUGGCUCAUUAACAGGUACUUCACUCUUUUUCUUAAUUUCAACAUUCUUGGGUUUUGUGGGCUCCACUCUGACGUCCCCCAUAUCAUAACGCUUCCCACUCCGCGUAUGAGAACCUUCAUCUCGUACAUCUUUAGAUGCGCUGGCUAUGUUUCCUUCUCCCGGCACCGUCACGCUACAGUCAUAACUCCAUGGUACUUUCUUGCUAUCCUUGUAAGGGAAAGGAGUAAGUGUAUGGAUAAUAACCUUGGGCGCUGCUGGUAUCCCCAUUUUAUUAUUCCCUGGCAGGGAGAUAAUGAUCCUUGGUCUGCUGGUUCUUUGCUGUUCCAACAUACAUACUUGCUUUUCACUAGAGCUACCUUCAUAAACCUGUAGCUCUUUAUUGUCUAUGAAGCCUUGCACCAAGGCCUUGAAUUCCUCGCAAUCUUCACGGAACUCACUGUAGUCCCAUGUUCUUUCUUUCAUAUUUUUAGAGGUCAACAUACCUCUCUUCAUCAUCUCCUCCCAGAUUACCCUCAUAGGCAUCCUUAUCUCAUCAACAUUUUCCUUUUCCCUUUUUCCACCGGCUUCACCAAUGGCAUUUACUCCCUGAUUGUCAUGGUUUGGCAAAGGAUUCUCAGUAUUUGAGGUACUCUCAAAUUUCAAAACCCCAUUCUUGAUCAACCUCUCUACGGCUUUCUUAAAUUCAGUACAAUUCUCGAUUGAGUGCCCCGAUAUUCCAGCAUGAUAUUCACAUCUGGCAUUUGCAUCAUACCAUUUAGGAUACGGAGGUUGUAAUGGUUUUAAAUGAAAAGGGGCUAUAGCAUGCGCAUCAUAUAGAUUUUGAUAGAGCUCCCUAUACGUCACAGGUAUAGGCGUAAAUUGCAUCCUCUCAUGCCUAGUGUUGGAUUCCUGCUUUUGAGAGCCUUGUUGCCCAACUGUGGCUACUUUGGGCUGGCUAACUGUGACUGCUUUUGAAUUAAAAUCACUUGUAUUGUUUACCUCGUUGUCUUUUCUACUUGGGGCUGAUCUUUUGGCUACUUCCCCCUCAAUUCUCCCCCCUCUUAUGGUAUUCUCUAUCAUCUCUCCUGCCAUAACUAUGUCCGCAAAACUUUUAGUAGUGCUUCCAAUCAUAUGAGUAAUAAAUGGGGCUUUCAGAGUAUUAAUAAAUAACAUAGUGGUCUCCUUCUCCAACAGUGGUGGUUGAACCUGCAUCGCUACCUCUCUCCACCUCUGUGCAUAUUGCCUAAAAUUCUCAUUAGGCUUCUUCUCCAUGUUUUGCAGGGUAAUUCUGUCAAGGGUCAUGUCUGUUACAUGAUUGUACUAUUGCAUGAAGGCUUGUGCAAGAUCCCUCCAUGAACUUAUUCUAGCUCAGCUCAACUGAUUGUACCAUCUGGCUGCCGCUCCUAUCAAACUAUCUUGAAAAUAAUGGAUCAACAGCUGAUCAUUGUUUACAUACCCCGUCAUCCUUCUGCAAAACAUUGUGAUGUGGGCCUCUGGGUAAGUAGUGCCAUUGUACUUUUCAAAUUCUGGCAUUUUGAAUUUGUGAGGUAACACUAGGUUUGAGACCAGACUUAAGUCCUUGGCAUCAACCCCAUGAUUAUUGCCAGUGCCUUCCAAAGCCUUGAACUUUUCUUCUAACCAUCUGCAACGUUCAUCCAAUUGCCUUACAACUUCGACCUUCAAAUCCUCUUUUUCCACCAUAUCUAGAUCGGGAACAAGAGGAUUAGUAAGAUUGUCACCCAUAUUAAGCCCUGAACCAACCGGGAAAUUCACAUGGACACCAGCAUCAAUUGGCCCAUGCUGAGGCCUCACAGUAGUAGAUGGCCUUCUAGGAGGUGCCUCAGUUUGCAAUGAUACAUGCGGCGGUGUAAGACCUAGAGGAGGACCCUCAUUUUCCUCCUCAGUGAUGGCCAUAGGAGCCCUUCCUUUAUCAGUGGCCUUCAGUAACUGAGCCAUUUCGGCCAUUAUAUUCCUCUGAGCUUCCAUCAUUUGCUCCUUCAUCUCAUUCUGCAUUUUAGCCAACUACUCUUGCAACUGGUCUUGCAUAUCCUUUUGUAACUACUCAAACCUUUGAUCCAUGUUCUUAGUUUUAGUGCGAGUGCCGUAAGGAUGUGUGAUUUCCAGUUUUUCUUUUCUACCUUUAUAAAGAAACUUUAACUAAUUAGAGUCUUUCUAUAACCUUGAAUGCAUAUGAUGUGAUGUAAUGCAAAUGUAUGAAUGCAGUAAAGGCAUCAAUCUCGAUUCAAUCUCAUUUAGAAAAAUUUAUUUAGAAAAAGAAUAUCUUUACAUAUAAAUGGAUUACAAGUAUGCUUUCGCCCUAAUGCCCAAAGUUUUAACUCUAUCUAAUAAAAGGGCUAACUCUCUUCCUAUGUCUGACGACGACUCACGCAUCAUACUCAAUACAUCGGCUCGUACUGCCAAGUCUUGCACAUAUUCAGCAACCUCUCGAAUCUGAGCUAUGGCUUCUCCCAUGACAUGAUCCCUUUCUCUAAUCUGCCCUCUGGACUGAUGAAGCUCUCCCUUUAGAUAAUCUCCUUGCGUCUCGAGUUGCUCGAUCUAAAGUUUACCUUCCUGCAAUGCUGCUUCCAAAUCUUCAACUUUACUCUUUAGCUCUUUUAACUCGACCGUAGAAUUAUGGUUGUGAUGCCAAUGAAGGAUCUUCCAAGCUCAGUUAUUUUAGACUUCAACCUUUUAUUCUCUUCUUCUAGUGCCAAAUUCCGCGAUUGCAUCUCCUGAAACUUCUUCUCCCAGUACUCAGCUCUAGCCUUUCCUUCUUGGACCUCUUUCUGCAGCUAAUCUGAAGACCCUCCUAUUUUCGCUCUUCUCAAGGAUACCUGUGCCUUUUUAUAGUGUUUCUUCAAAUCAUCUCUAUCCUCUUCAAUUUUCCUCUUUUCCUUUCUUUCUUUCUCGACCUCCAUCUUCUGGACAUUGAUAUCUAAACUCAAGUAAAUCUUUUCUUCUUCGAGCUUUGCUAUCCUUUUCCCAAGCUCCAAAUUUUUCCUCUCAAAUUCUUGCUUCAUAAUUUCUAACUCCGAGGGCAUCACUUGUAGAUAUUCCUCCAUCGGUCAAGCUCCUUCCAUAUUUGGCUCAGGAAUAUUAUCAUUGAUCCUCUUACCUCUCCAUUCAACAUAUUCUGGAAUUGUAGUAGGGCCAAUAGCUACUCCUCUCAACCGACAUGUCUUGUUCCAAGCGCUAGAGAUCUCACCGACCCUUUUUUUGUAAUCGGCUCCUCUAUAUGCGAACUCACUUUGAGUUAGCCCAUGAGUUGCUGGCACGAAUUGCCUCAAAUCGAAUUGCCUUAACACGAGCAAGGGGGCAUAACCAAUGGCACCCCAAAUUCCCAAUAAAGGGACCCAAUCGAAACUGCCGCAACGGUAAAGAAUCUCACCAGGAAUCAUCCAUGGAGCUCUCCACUCAACAUCUUUCGACUGAAGAUUUUGAAGUAGUGCCAUCCAAUUCUCCUCUGGAACAUCAACUCUCCUAGAUGAAGCGACUAUAUCCUUUAGUGGUGAGUAAUCCUCGAAGAAAACCUGACAAACGACCUUAUCUAUCAACCGAAAAUUACUAUAGAACCAAGCUAGAAGCAAUUGUGCACAACCAAAAAACCUGCCUGCACCAGCUUUCCUACAUGUGCCUAAGGACCUGAAUGUCUCUGCCAAAAUUGCAGGGACAGAGGUGACCCUCUUACUGAGUCUAUGGAAAAGAUCCGUGGUUGCCUCAUCCACAUAUCCCAAAGCCCUAGGGAACACCAUCAAUUCGUACAAACUUAAGGCAAAAACAUCUACCCUAUUUGCUUCAUCAGGGUGUGUCAAAAUCAGACCCUUCAAAGCAUCCCAUGAAAUGCACUUGCACUCGCCCUUCUCUUUAAUUUUGGCAGUAAUCCACUGCUUGCUCAUCCCUGUAAUAGCCAUCAAUUUCUUCCAAAAGGUAGGGACAUUAACAGCUCGAGAAUAGAUUCUAUCAACCUAGAACCUGGGACAACGUAAUAAGGCAGUGUACUCCUCUACGGUAGGCACCAAGUCUACCUCCCCGAAAGUAAAGCAACUGUACGCUGGAUUCCAAAAUUGAGCGAGGGCUCGGAAUAAGUGCUCAUCUAUUUGAACAUCGAGCAAGUAAGGUAAGUCUCCGUAAUUACCGUAGAAUAAUUGUUUAGUCUUGUUGCCCUAUUGAUCCUAAAUCUCCUUAAGCUCUUGGAGAUUAUUCUACGUAACACUGAUGCAAGUAUAUCAUGACAGCUCCGACAUAUAUCCCACAGCUAUACUAUCUCCCUUUUGCUAACUGAGUUUGCUCAGACCAUCUAUGGACGUUGGCGUUGCCCUCCACUCUAUCAAGAAGUCCGUUCUCCAUAAUAAAACUCUCUAAUUUAGACACUGACCGUGAAUCGAUACCUUUGUAAAUGCAAAAUGUCAUGCAAACAAAAGAAAAGAAAUAGUCAGUAUCACAUGAUAUCAAUAAAUCUCAACAAUAAUUUAUAAGGGUAAUAUCUAAAGUUUAACUCUAACUAAGUUAGGCUCUUACGGUUUUUUCUAUAUGAGGCUGGUUCUAAAGUUUGAGGUACCUGAACCAGCAGAUUCCUCGAUCCUCACCCAUUAUAGGCUCAUUUGAAUCGAGUUCAGUUCAGGGGAAUACAUUUCCCUAUGGCUACACGGAGAUGAAAAUAUCACGAAACCAUAGGUACGGAUGUAUCCCAAAAGUGAUCCACUAUCCUGCACGGAGGCGAAAACCUCACGAAGGCGUAGCUUCUCACUCUCACUUAAGGGUGUGACCACAACGGUCAUGUAAAUGCAAUGCGUAUUAGAAUAUAGCAACACAUGCAAUAAUACAAACACAUGUAAUGCAAAGAGGAUUAAAUCUUAAAAAUUUUUAAAUUUCUGACAUUAAGACAAGAGAUAAUCAAUUACACGGCUUGACUCUCUUAAACGUCCCUAGUGGAGUGGCCAAGCUGUCGAGACCAUUUUUAAAUCGGGUUUUUGAAAAUGGGAAUCGACUUUAAAAACGAAAACGGAAGUCGCCACCAAUCUUUUUAGGUGUGAUUGGAUCACCUUUAAAACAUUUGUUUUAAAAUCAUUGGUUUUGGUCUACGAAAUCAAAAGAAUGGGUUCGGGAGUCGGUUACGUACGAAGAGGGGUUACACCCUCGUAGCGCCCAAAAAUUGUUACCUAAUUGAUUAUCAAAAUGUCUCUAAUGUCGGAAAUUAAAAAUUUUAAGAUGUAAUCCUCUUUAAAGUAUUUGAAAAUUUGGGUUUACUUGUAUCAAAGUAUUGACUAUAAGUUAGCCUUUUAGAAAUCUCUAUCUCAAAACAGCAAAAUGUUACAUCCAGUAAGUUAGGACAAAUCACUUUGCAAUUCUAAGGCAGUCACUUAUAUUUUGAAAUCCUUUAAAAACCUUAGAAGGGUACUUGACUAUUCGAACUUAACGAGAAAAGUUGCAACCCAAUAAGUUAGGGCACUACUUUUUUGAAAUUUCCAAACACCAAGCAUUGCCUUUAUAUUUUUUGGAAAUUUUGGAGCCUUGUCUUUUUAAAGAUGAUGCGUGGAGAAUUGUAUUACAUUAUAAAUCAUAAUAAUUUAUUAUUGUACUAGGUAGAUAAAAAUGAAUACUACGAUAAAAAGAAUAAUACAUAUAAAGCAAAAAAAAUGCAAACAAAGAUAUAUAUAUAGCAUGUAUUGAAAAUGAAUAAACAAAGUAUACAAACAUACGAAAUAAUAUUUGCAUGAUAUAAACAAAACAUAAUCGAAUAAUGUAUGAUAUAUAAAUAGAAGAAAUAUAGUGUCAAUGUGCAUGUUCACAAAAUACAACAUAUAAUAAUAAUAAUAAUAACAUUUAUAAUAAAAUAAUCUUAUAAUGUAAAAAUUAAAAUAAAACAAAUAAUAAAUAUAUAUAUAUAGGAUAAUAAAAUAAAUAUAAGAUUGAAUUUAAAGUUUAGCAAAAUUAUGGGGCAAAUUUUGAAAGGAAUAGAAUUGAAUUAAAGCCCUAUUUAAAACGCGUGCAAAAUCCAAAGGGCUAACUGGGCAAAUUGCCCUAUUCCCAAAACGGCGACGUUUUCCAGAAUACAAUUAUAACCAUCAGGACUCAAUUAAAACUGAAACAAAAUUAAUAGGGGCCCAAUCAUAAAUAAAAUAAGGUUUUAAUUGUAAACGCAAAAAGGAGUAGAAGGACUGGUUGAGAAAUUAACCCAGUUAUAAAAAACGCGCAGAUCCUCCUCGGGUAAUCGGGUCAACACGCGGAUCCUGAGGGUCUAAAACGCUGUCGUUUUGACAAGGCUAUAUAAGCCAAAUCUUCAGCUUUAAAAUCAUUUAGAAACCCAGUUUCUAAAAAAAAACAAAAAAAAAUCCUCUGAAAAGGAUCCCUGGUCCUCUGAGCUCCGGCGUUUAGCCGAUCAGCUCUGGUCAUUGGACCUCCGUACUGAGAUCCACGCGCCACCACCGACUCCGCCACACACGACGGUCGGAACUUGAAAAGUUUCACUUUUCAAGGCGAUUCUCCAGGUAUUCUCUCCCUCUAUCUGUUUAAUAUAUUAUAUGCAUAAACUUAUGAUCAAGAGAAUGAAACAGAAAUAAAAAUAUGUCACCUUUGUCUUCUGUAAAAAAAAAUCUCUGGUAUAUUAUUGCAAAAAAGAUUAUGUGCACAAUAUUUUGGUAUCUCUCCCUUGUGUGUUUUCCUUUUACAGAUUAAAAAGAAGGCUUUAUAGCCUCAAUAAACUACUACAAUUUUUGGAAAGAAAUCUCCGAUUUCUUUUCGUAUUUGCUUCGCAUGUCUGCUGUGAUUUUCUUUCCUUUUCUUGCAGGUGCUUGCGAAAAAUCCGGCAAUGGAAGGGUUGCUGGCGUUGAUGGAGGCCUGAAGUCUGGUGAUGGUGUCGGUGAGGCGCUGAUUACGGAAGUAGAGCCUUGAGUGAUGGCCUCGAUUGGGGAGCCGGACAGACGAUCCCCGAAUCUUCCAGAAGCAGUUGCGGCGUAAGGGAGCAGAGCUAGGGUUGGAAACCCUAGCUGGAAAUUUUGGGUUUUGGGCCUAGUUCAUUUUGGGCCGUUGUAUUGGGUCAAAGGGGUAAUGGGCAUAGGAUAGGCUUACGGGGUAUUUGGGCUACCGGGUGUAACAGGUCUAUUUGGGUUUUAACUUUUGGGCUGUAAAGGGACUGUUUAAUAAACAUUUAUUUAUUAUUAUUUAAUUUUGGUUUUGGGUUUCAAGGCCCGGUCAAAUUUGGGGUUAUUACAAUGUAUAUAUAAAAAUAUUGAAGAUUUUUAAAUGAAUGAUAAAACCGUUGUAAGGAUACAUCAAGUUUUAAAAUGAAAAAUAUUUAACAGCACAA